AGGUUAAGCUACUAAGAGCACACGGAGGAUGCCUAGGCGCUAGGAGCCGAUGAAGGACGUGGCGAACAACGAUACUGCCUCGGGGAGCUGUAAGCAAGCUUCGAUCCGGGGAUGUCCGAAUGGGGAAACCCAACUGGUGUAAUAGCCAGUUACCCGUAUCUGAAUACAUAGGAUACGAGGAGGCAUACCCAGGGAACUGAAACAUCUAAGUACCUGGAGGAAGAGAAAACAAGAGUGAUUCCGUCAGUAGCGGCGAGCGAACGCGGAACAGCCUAAACCAGAGAGCUUGCUCUCUGGGGUUGUGGGACGUCUCACAUGGAGUUACAAAGGUUUAGAUUAGACGAACAGGUCUGGAAAGGCCGGCCAUAGAAGGUAAAAGCCCUGUAAUCGAAAAUGUGAACCCUCCGAGACGGAUCCCGAGUAGUGCGGGGCACGUGAAACCCCGUAUGAAUCCAGCAGGACCAUCUGCUAAGGCUAAAUACUCCCUAGCGACCGAUAGUGAAGCAGUACCGUGAGGGAAAGGUGAAAAGCACCCCGGAAGGGGAGUGAAAUAGAACCUGAAACCGUGUGCUUACAAGAAGUCAGAGCCCAUUAUAGGGGUGAUGGCGUGCCUUUUGUAGAAUGAACCGGCGAGUUACGUUCCCAUGCAAGGUUAAGGCGAGAAGCCGUAGCCGCAGCGAAAGCGAGUCUGAAUAGGGCGCUUUAGUAUGUGGACGUAGACCCGAAACCGUGUGAUCUACCCCUGUCCAGGGUGAAGGUGCGGUAACACGCACUGGAGGCCCGAACCCACGUACGUUGAAAAGUGCGGGGAUGAGGUGGGGGUAGCGGAGAAAUUCCAAUCGAACUCGGAGAUAGCUGGUUCUCCCCGAAAUAGCUUUAGGGCUAGCCUCGGAAUGAAGAGUCGUGGAGGUAGAGCACUGAUUGGGUGCGGGGCCCGCAAGGGUUACCAAGCUCAGUCAAACUCCGAAUGCCAUAGACUUAUGUCCGGGAGUCAGACAGUGAGUGCUAAGAUCCAUUGUCAAAAGGGAAACAGCCCAGACCAUCAGCUAAGGUCCCCAAGUGUGUGUUAAGUGGGAAAGGAUGUGGAGUUGCACAGACAACCAGGAUGUUGGCUUAGAAGCAGCCACCAUUUAAAGAGUGCGUAAUAGCUCACUGGUCGAGUGACUCUGCGCCGAAAAUGUAACGGGGCUAAACACACCACCGAAGCUAUGGCUUGAUGCUUGCAUCAGGGGUAGGGGAGCGUUGUGUAUGCGUUGAAGGUGUACCGUAAGGAGCGCUGGAGAGUACACAAGUGAGAAUGCCGGUAUGAGUAACGAAAAGAUCAGUGAGAAUCUGAUCCGCCGAAAGCCCAAGGUUUCCUGAGGAAGGCUCGUCCGCUCAGGGUAAGUCGGGACCUAAGGCGAGGCCGAAAGGCGUAGUCGAAGGACAACAGGUUGAAAUUCCUGUACCACCGUAAACCGUUAUGAACGAUGGGGUGACGCAGGAGGGUAGUGACGCGGACUGAUGGAUGUCCGUCCAAGCAGUGAGGCUGAUGUGUAGGCAAAUCCGCACAUCGUAAGGCUGGGCUGUGAUGGGGAGUGAAAAUUACAGUAGCGAAGGUCAUGAUCUCACACUGCCAAGAAAAGCCUCUAGUCAGGUGAAGGUGCCCGUACCGCAAACCGACACAGGUAGGCGAGAAGAGAAUUCUAAGGCGCGCGGAAGAACUCUCGUUAAGGAACUCGGCAAAAUGACCCCGUAACUUCGGGAGAAGGGGUGCCUCGGUAGGGUGAAUAGCCCGAGGGGGCCGCAGUGAAAAGGCCCAAGCGACUGUUUAGCAAAAACACAGGUCUGUGCGAAGCCGCAAGGCGAAGUAUACGGGCUGACGCCUGCCCGGUGCUGGAAGGUUAAGGGGAGCGGUUAGGAGCAAUCCGAAGCUGUGAACCGAAGCCCCAGUAAACGGCGGCCGUAACUAUAACGGUCCUAAGGUAGCGAAAUUCCUUGUCAGGUAAAUUCUGACCCGCACGAAUGGCGUAACGACUUGGGCGCUGUCUCAACGAGAGAUCCGGUGAAAUUUUAAUACCUGUGAAGAUGCAGGUUACCCGCGACAAGACGGAAAGACCCCAUGGAGCUUUACUGCAGCUUGAUAUUGGAUUUGGGUACGAUCUGUACAGGAUAGGUGGGAGCCUUUGAAGCAUGAGCGCCAGCUUGUGUGGAGGCGACGUUGGGAUACCACCCUGAUCGUAUCUAGGUUCUAACCUGGUACCGUGAUCCGGUACGGGGACAGUGUCAGGCGGACAGUUUGACUGGGGCGGUCGCCUCCUAAAGAGUAACGGAGGCGCCCCAAGGUUCCCUCAGAAUGGUUGGAAAUCAUUCGAAGAGUGCAAAGGCAUAAGGGAGCUUGACUGCGAGACCUACAAGUCGAGCAGGGACGAAAGUCGGGCUUAGUGAUCCGGUGGUACCGCAUGGAAGGGCCAUCGCUCAACGGAUAAAAGCUACCCUGGGGAUAACAGGCUUAUCUCCCCCAAGAGUCCACAUCGACGGGGAGGUUUGGCACCUCGAUGUCGGCUCAUCGCAUCCUGGGGCUGAAGUAGGUCCCAAGGGUUGGGCUGUUCGCCCAUUAAAGCGGUACGCGAGCUGGGUUCAGAACGUCGUGAGACAGUUCGGUCCCUAUCUGUCGUGGGCGUAGGAAAUUUGAGAGGAGCUGUCCUUAGUACGAGAGGACCGGGAUGGACGUACCGCUGGUGCACCAGUUGUUCCGCCAGGAGCAUGGCUGGGUAGCUACGUACGGACGGGAUAAGCGCUGAAAGCAUCUAAGCGUGAAGCCCCCCUCAAGAUGAGAUUUCCCAGUAUGUAAGACCCCUUGAAGACGACGAGGUAGAUAGGUUGGAGGUGGAAGUGCAGUAAUGCAUGGAGCUGACCAAUACUAAUCGGUCGAGGGCUUAUCCUA
This 2926-nucleotide ribosomal RNA is filed under the name Paenibacillus ihbetae. RNAcentral's name for it is "bacterial LSU rRNA". It matches the Rfam family "Bacterial large subunit ribosomal RNA". The record is from RNAcentral. Lineage: Bacteria; Bacillati; Bacillota; Bacilli; Caryophanales; Paenibacillaceae.